UCCUGGCUUAGAACGAACGCUGGUGGCGUGUCUUAUACAUGCAAGUCGAGCGAGGCAGCAAUGCCGAGCGGCGAACGGGUGAGUAACGCGUAAGCAAUCUGCCCCAUAUCAGGAAAUACCCGUGCCAACGCGCGGUUAAUGUCCAGGAGAGUGGCCUUCCGCAUGGAAGGUUGACUAGAGAUUUAUCGGUAUGGGAUGAGCUUGCGUCCGAUUAGCUAGUUGGCGGGGCAACGGCCCACCAAGGCGACGAUCGGUAGCCGGCCUGAGAGGGUGAUCGGCCACAUUGGGACUGAGAUACGGCCCAGACUCCCACGGGAGGCAGCAGUAGGGAAUAUUGCACAAUGGGGGAAACCCUGAUGCAGCAACGCCACGUGUGGGAAGAAGCAUUUCGGUGUGUAAACCACUGUCAUGAGGGAAUAAGGCCCGCCUUCGGACGGGAUUGAAUGUACCUUGAGAGGAAGCACCGGCAAACUUCGUGCCAGCCGCGGC
This 489-nucleotide ribosomal RNA is filed under the name uncultured bacterium. RNAcentral describes it as "bacterial SSU rRNA". It matches the Rfam family "Bacterial small subunit ribosomal RNA", at positions 17 to 518 of the family's 1533-position model. The record is from RNAcentral.